This 440-nucleotide ribosomal RNA is filed under the name uncultured bacterium. RNAcentral describes it as "partial 16S ribosomal RNA". It matches the Rfam family "Bacterial small subunit ribosomal RNA", at positions 338 to 795 of the family's 1533-position model. The record is from RNAcentral.
CCUACGGGAGGCAGCAGUGGGGGAUAUUGCACAAUGGGGGAAACCCUGAUGCAGCAACGCCGCGUGCGUGAAGAAGUAUUUCGGUAUGUAAAGCUCUAUCAGCAGGGAAGAGAAUGACGGUACCUGACUAAGAAUCCCCGGCUAACUACGUGCCAGCAGCCGCGGUAAUACGUAGGGGGCGAGCGUUAUCCGGAUUUACUGGGUGGAAAGGGAGCGUAGACGGCUGGUCAAGUCUGAAGUGAAAGCCCGGGGCUUAACCCCGGAACGGCUUUGGAAACUGAGCAGCUAGAGUGAUGGAGAGGUAAGCGGAAUUCCUAGUGUAGCGGUGAAAUGCGUAGAUAUUAGGAGGAACACCAGUGGCGAAGGCGGCUUACUGGACAGUAACUGACGUUGAGGCUCGAAAGCGUGGGGAGCAAACAGGAUUAGAUACCCGAGUAGUC